CUUUCUAAAAAUCUGACUAAUUGCUUGUGUUCUUUUGAUAGAUGGUAGUGAUUUUGACUUAGCAGAUGCUCUUGAUACAGUUACAAAGAAACCUCCAAUUACCAAAAAGCCUGCAGCAGGUGGUGGUUCCAAGCCAAAGUUGUAUCCUGACCUUGGACCUUAUUCAGAUGGCCAUGGAAAUGAUGGCCUCGAUUUAGGAGAUGCUCUUGAUAGUGGACAUGGUAAGUAUUCUUUUUUUUUUAUGGGGUUUUGCCCUUUUUGCAUCAUUUCAAAGUAUCUUUCAUUAAAACCACAGGGUUCAGUCUUGAAAGUGGUAGNAAAAAAAAAAUGGUGAUAGUGGCAGCACUUACAGAGGACAUCAGGGUUGUCCAUUCUUAACGUCGUUUC
This 387-nucleotide long non-coding RNA is filed under the name Salvator merianae (Argentine black and white tegu). RNAcentral describes it as "lncRNA (ENSSMRG00000022464.1)". The record is from RNAcentral. Lineage: Eukaryota; Metazoa; Chordata; Lepidosauria; Squamata; Teiidae.